UCCAUAGAUUCAAAUUAUGCACUGCAUAAAAUUCAAGUUUGCAUUUAAAUCUACAACCCAUUCAACAGCAUAUCAAGGACUGACCCAUGUAGCAAGUGCCAAAAAAAGAUAACAUCAUCAACAAAAAGAUUCUCCAAAGAGGUCAAAUUCCUAAUUAGUUUUUCAAUACACAUGCAUAUUCUACUCAUUUUUUGAGGAAAAUAGGUAACAAAUAUUUCAUAAAUAAAAAAUAGACACAAACAAAUUCUAAAUGAAUCAGAUCUACAAAUAAAUCAUGAACAGAUAACCUCAUUAAAGUCAAAAUAGAGAGAGGAAACUUACAGAGAGCUCAAGAAAAAAAAAUGAAAGAGAGGUAGAUGUACAAAGAUGGUGGAGCUGCCUAGAG
RNAcentral lists this unclassified non-coding RNA (385 nucleotides) under Hevea brasiliensis (rubber tree). The record is from RNAcentral. Lineage: Eukaryota; Viridiplantae; Streptophyta; Magnoliopsida; Malpighiales; Euphorbiaceae.